RNAcentral lists this small RNA (582 nucleotides) under Pongo abelii (Sumatran orangutan). RNAcentral describes it as "retained intron". Lineage: Eukaryota; Metazoa; Chordata; Mammalia; Primates; Hominidae. The record is from RNAcentral.
UUAUACAAAACCGGGAGACAUUGACCCUACAUCAGUAGCAAGUCCCAAAGAUCCAGAAGAUAUACCAACAUUUGAUGAAUGGAAGAAGAAAGUUAUGGAAGUAGAAAAAGAAAAAAGUCAGUCAAUGCAUGCAUCUUCUAAUGGAGGUUCACAUGCCACCAAAAAGGUCCAGAAAAAUCGAAAUAAUUAUGCCUCAGUAGAAUGUGGUGCCAAAAUUCUAGCAGCUAAUCCAGAAGCCAAGGUAGGUGCUUAAAUAUAAAAUUUUGUAUAUAUAGGAAAUUAACGACUUUUUAAAAUAUAGGCAUUUGUUUCCUGGGAACUAUAUUUUAAUGUGAGAUAUUUUCCUUAUUCACUAAUAAAAGUAGAAUAUGCUUUUCAAAACAUUAUCUUGUAUGAAUUCUUAUUUAUAUUGGCUGAUGUAUUUUACCCUGCAUUUUUUAACUUUUAAAACCCGUAUGAAAUUUUAAAAAGGAAAUAACUAAAAUAUUAUUUUUUUCUUUAAAGUAACAGGCAUUGAAUUUUAAAUGUAUCAUUGUAACACUAAUUUAAUGCUGUUGCCGUGAAUGGUGAAUCUUAGCCACU